UGGAUUCGCUAGUAAUCGCGCAUCAGCCACGGCGCGGUGAAUACGUUCCCGGGCCUUGUACACACCGCCCGUCAAGCCAUGGGAGUCGGGAGUGCCUGAAGUGCGUGAGCGCGAGCAGCCGCCCGUAGGGACCAAAACCGAUGACUGGGGCUAAGUCGUAACAAGGUAUC
RNAcentral lists this ribosomal RNA (170 nucleotides) under uncultured bacterium. RNAcentral describes it as "partial 16S ribosomal RNA". It matches the Rfam family "Bacterial small subunit ribosomal RNA", at positions 1327 to 1500 of the family's 1533-position model. The record is from RNAcentral.